This 427-nucleotide ribosomal RNA is filed under the name uncultured bacterium. RNAcentral describes it as "bacterial SSU rRNA". It matches the Rfam family "Bacterial small subunit ribosomal RNA", at positions 355 to 774 of the family's 1533-position model. The record is from RNAcentral.
UGGGGAAUUUUGGACAAUGGGCGAAAGCCUGAUCCAGCCAUGCCGCGUGAGUGAAGAAGGCCUUCGGGUUGUAAAGCUCUUUUAGUCGGAAAGAAAGAGUUGCAAUGAAUAAUUGUGAUUUAUGACGGUACCGACAGAAAAAGCACCGGCUAACUACGUGCCAGCAGCCGCGGUAAUACGUAGGGUGCGAGCGUUAAUCGGAAUUACUGGGCGUAAAGGGUGCGCAGGCGGUCUUGCAAGUCAGAUGUGAAAGCCCCGGGCUUAACCUGGGAAUGGCGUUUGAAACUACAAGGCUAGAGUGCAGCAGAGGGGAGUGGAAUUCCAUGUGUAGCAGUGAAAUGCGUAGAGAUGUGGAAGAACACCGAUGGCGAAGGCAGCUCCCUGGGUUGACACUGACGCUCAUGCACGAAAGCGUGGGGAGCAAACA